Molecule: transfer RNA, 83 nt
Filed under: Candidatus Melainabacteria bacterium
Lineage: Bacteria; Bacillati; Candidatus Melainabacteria
Description: tRNA-Leu
Rfam family: tRNA
About the family: Transfer RNA (tRNA) molecules are approximately 80 nucleotides in length. Their secondary structure includes four short double-helical elements and three loops (D, anti-codon, and T loops).
Source: RNAcentral
GCCGGUGUGGCGAAAUGGCAAACGCAGUUGACUCAAAAUCAGCCGAGCUUAGGCUCUUGUCGGUUCAAGUCCGACCACCGGCA